GAUGAACGCUGGCGGAAUGCUUUACACAUGCAAGUCGAACGGCAGCACGGACUUCGGUCUGGUGGCGAGUGGCGAACGGGUGAGUAAUGUAUCGGAACGUGCCCAGUCGUGGGGGAUAACGUAGUGAAAAUUACGCUAAUACCGCAUACGAUCUAUGGAUGAAAGCGGGGGAUCGCAAGACCUCGCGCGAUUGGAGCGGCCGAUAUCAGAUUAGGUAGUUGGUGGGGUAAAGGCCCACCAAGCCAACGAUCUGUAGCUGGUCUGAGAGGACGACCAGCCACACUGGGACUGAGACCGGGUCCAGACUCCUACGGGAGGCAGCAGUGGGGAAUUUUGGACAAUGGGCGAAAGCCUGAUCCAGCCAUUCCGCGUGCAGGAUGAAGGCCCUCGGGUUGUAAACUGCUUUUGUACAGAACGAAAAGGUUUCUACUAAUACUAGGAGCUCAUGACGGUACUGUAAGAAUAAGCACCGGCUAACUACGUGCCAGCCGCCGCCGUAA
Molecule: ribosomal RNA, 500 nt
Filed under: uncultured bacterium
Lineage: Bacteria
Description: partial 16S ribosomal RNA
Rfam family: Bacterial small subunit ribosomal RNA
Source: RNAcentral